CUGAGUUCACAGCACCUGCUGGGGCCUCGGGCAUGCUCUCUAGAGUGCUGCUUUCAGUGGUCUGACAGUUUAACCCGCUCCACUUCUUUUGUGACAAGUCAAGGGUCAGGAAGGUCAUGCCCAUCUGUGACUGUUCAAGAAUCUGUUAGGUCUAGACAAGAGAGUGACCUUCUUCCUCCUCCCUAUGGGCUUGGUGAAGAGAAAAAUAAUGAUUCCAAUCACCUGACUCCCACACAAGAAUCUUGCAGCUGUAAAAAAAACUAAACAGAUGCUUGUUAAAACAGGACUGUCAUACACAUCAGCCAUGGUAGAUCCUUGCCUGUGGGGACGUCUGCACUGUACCCGUAGCAUGCCUUACAUCACUC
This 365-nucleotide long non-coding RNA is filed under the name Androctonus crassicauda. The record is from RNAcentral. Lineage: Eukaryota; Metazoa; Arthropoda; Arachnida; Scorpiones; Buthidae.